CAGUAGCCACGGGAAUACGAGGGGGGCAAGCGUUGUUCGGAAUUAUUGGGCGUAAAGGGUGCGUAGGCGGUCUGAUAAGUCUGAUGUGAAAUCUAUGGGCUCAACCCAUAGUCUGCAUUAGAAACUGUCGGGCUUGAGUAUGGGAGAGGUGAGUGGAAUUUCCGGUGUAGCGGUGAAAUGCGUAGAUAUCGGAAGGAACACCUGUGGCGAAAGCGGCUCACUGGACCAUUACUGACGCUGAUGCACGAAAGCUAGGGGAGCAAACAGGAUUAGAUACCCCAGUAGUCCCUGUCUCUUAUAC
RNAcentral lists this ribosomal RNA (301 nucleotides) under uncultured bacterium. RNAcentral's name for it is "partial 16S ribosomal RNA". It matches the Rfam family "Bacterial small subunit ribosomal RNA", at positions 509 to 807 of the family's 1533-position model. The record is from RNAcentral.